AAAUCCCUGUGCCAACUACGUGCUUAGUGUAUAGAGGAGAUUCAUAUACAGAAUAAUCAUGUUUCUUGUAAUAAGUCUUUCAAUCAUGGAUGCAAAGAAUCUGAUAGCAAGUUCAGUGUCAUUAUUUACCUUGAGGAAAUUGAUAACGAAGGUCUUGGACGGCACUAAAUACACAUCAAGCAUUAGAUGAGGAUCGCAGCGUAAAAAAAAUUGUUGGUGAUUCUACGAUAUGG
Molecule: long non-coding RNA, 233 nt
Organism: Saccostrea cuccullata (small rock oyster)
Lineage: Eukaryota; Metazoa; Mollusca; Bivalvia; Ostreida; Ostreidae
Exons: 3
Source: RefSeq, a predicted model, not a curated record